Long non-coding RNA from Glycine soja, 1275 nucleotides. RefSeq lists it as uncharacterized. The record is from RefSeq and is a predicted model, not a curated record. The transcript has 2 exons. Lineage: Eukaryota; Viridiplantae; Streptophyta; Magnoliopsida; Fabales; Fabaceae.
UUCUCCAAUGGAUUGCAUGGAAAUGUGGACACAGGAUUUGUUCCCUUACAUCUACUACUACCCUGGAAUCUUGUUCUUGAAGAUAUAUAAACUGAUACUAGAAAACCUUACAGGGUAUUUUUUUUCUUCUUGAAAGUUGACUAGGAUCUUACUGUCCCCUAUUAUUUCUAAAAGCAACCAAACAGUCCAUGAUGUGAAAAUCUCAUCUUGAAUAAUUUUGCUCCAAGUUGCCAUGUCAGUAGCUUUAUAUGAUGAUCCAAGGUUGGAGUCAUCCCAUUAAAAGUGUCAAAGAUUCACUUCCUAGUUUCCAUCCCUUUAAAUACCUCUUUGAAAUACAAGGGAAUGAUCAACCCAAGUUAGCAUAACUACCACCACCUGUUCCUCUUCAUCCGCUAUUUGACUUUUUUAGUGAGAGAUCAAUGAAAGUUUUCAGCCAGAAAGGGCACAUGUUGAGGAUCCAUUAUAAGGUUGCCACUCCAUUGAAGAAGAUCAAGUUUGUAAACCAAAGUAAAAAUGUUCAGAAGCCAACACAAAAGUACAUUGAGAUAGUCACAGAAAACCUUUUGAUUUCUGGUUUAUGGGGAUGAUGAAAUAUCAGAAAACCUUGAAAUAUCUUGAGCAGGCUGUUUCUCAAGCUUAGUUGAGUAGCGAAAUCCACUGUUUGAGUUUGAGGCUUCAUGUUGUCAGGACAAACAUAUAGAUACAAGAGAGAUGAUCAGAAACAAAAUAAAAAUUGGCAGGCUGGCAGCAAUUAUUGAAGACAUUGGACUUUGUCUUUGAUAAAAGCAGCUUCAUUGUUUUAUCCAUUGUGCUGGACACAACAUGUUGGUGUGACAGCAAAUAGAAGUGGUUCAUAUCAGUUGAAUUGAAGCACUUGGUUGCUAGUACAAUGUGGACAAAAGGUUUUGAGUACAAGAGUUCAUCAUUGGUGCCUUAUUUAUUGCAGAAUGCAAGCCACAUGUAUUUCAGUGGAUGACUGGUUGUUAAUGCUAAUUAGUUAAGGACCAAAGGGCUUUUGCAGAAGGUAUCCGUCCAUGGACUAGCCUAUGUUAGAGCUAGCUGGUCGAUGAAGGGAGAUUACGGUGGAAGAAAAGUUCAAAGGAAAGAUAAACUGAAGGGUACUAAAUUGCUAGUUGCCCAACUGUAGAAGUAUAGGCUCAAUUAUUUGUAAAUUUGAUCAUGUAAAUAUUUUCAUAACCAGGUUACCGAAAUUGUAUUCCAGAUUGUACUCUUCCUAUCCAACUCUUUAAUCAAAUUUGCAUAUAAUCUUUUAAA